CUGUCUACGCGGACUACCGCAUGCAUGGUGACUGACCCUUCGUAUUCAUUAACAUGUCUACGCGGACUACCGUAUGCAUGGUGAAUGACCAUUCAUAUUCAUUAUUUAUUAAAUUGUGGAAAUGAUUUGUCUACGUGGAUUAACGCAUGGCGGGUGAAAAUCCAUUUGUAGUUUCGUAUAUUCUAUUAUACUCGUAUGAGAUAUCAUUUCUUUUGUACUCGUCAUGG
RNAcentral lists this long non-coding RNA (227 nucleotides) under Panax ginseng (ginseng). RNAcentral's name for it is "long non-coding RNA (PGIN_LNC012661)". Lineage: Eukaryota; Viridiplantae; Streptophyta; Magnoliopsida; Apiales; Araliaceae. The record is from RNAcentral.